Molecule: ribosomal RNA, 459 nt
Filed under: uncultured bacterium
Lineage: Bacteria
Description: partial 16S ribosomal RNA
Rfam family: Bacterial small subunit ribosomal RNA
Source: RNAcentral
CUACGGGCGGCUGCAGUGAGGAAUAUUGCGCAAUGGAGGCAACUCUGACGCAGCCAUGCCGCGUGCAGGAAGAAGGCGCUACGCGUUGUAAACUGCUUUUAACCGGGAAGAAACCCCAGGACGUGUCCUGGGUUGACGGUACCGGAGGAAUAAGCACCGGCUAACUUCGUGCCAGCAGCCGCGGUAAUACGAAGGGUGCAAGCGUUAUCCGGAUUCAUUGGGUUUAAAGGGUGCGUAGGCGGGGCGAUAAGUCAGUGGUGAAAUCCUGCAGCUCAACUGUAGAAUUGCCAUUGAUACUGUCGUUCUUGAGUACGCUCGACGUGGGCGGAAUGUGCCGUGUAGCGGUGAAAUGCUUAGAUAUGGCACAGAACACCGAUAGUGAAGACAGCUCACGAGGGCGAAACUGACGCUGAGGCACGAAAGCGUGGGGAUCGAACAGGAUUAGAUACCCUAGUAGUC